UUGUUUCAGCAGCAAGUAUACUAAAACUGGAACGGUACAGAGGUUAGCAUGGCCCCUGCCCAAGGAUGACAUGCAAAUUCGCGAAGCAUUCCAUAUUUUA
This 100-nucleotide small nuclear RNA is filed under the name Chinchilla lanigera (long-tailed chinchilla). Lineage: Eukaryota; Metazoa; Chordata; Mammalia; Rodentia; Chinchillidae. The record is from RNAcentral.